RNAcentral lists this ribosomal RNA (694 nucleotides) under uncultured bacterium. RNAcentral's name for it is "bacterial SSU rRNA". It matches the Rfam family "Bacterial small subunit ribosomal RNA", at positions 77 to 808 of the family's 1533-position model. The record is from RNAcentral.
AGCUUGCUAAUAAUUCUCUAGUGGCGCACGGGUGAGUAACACGUGAGUACCUGCCCCCAAGAGUGGGAUAGCCCCGGGAAACUGGGAUUAAUACCGCAUAAAGCAAUAAAGCAGCAAUGCGCUUGGGGAUGGGCUCGCGUCCUAUUAGUUAGUUGGUGAGGUAACGGCUCACCAAGGCGAUGACGGGUAGCCGGUCUGAGAGGAUGUCCGGCCACACUGGAACUGAGACACGGUCCAGACACCUACGGGUGGCAGCAGUCGAGAAUCAUUCACAAUGGGGGAAACCCUGAUGGUGCGACGCCGCGUGGGGGAUAAGGUCUUCGGAUUGUAAACCCCUGUCAUGUGGGACAUUAAAAGAUAGUACCACAAGAGGAAGAGACGGCUAACUCUGUGCCAGCAGCCGCGGUAAUACAGAGGUCUCAAGCGUUGUUCGGAAUCACUGGGCGUAAAGCGUGCGUAGGCGGUUUCGUAAGUCGUGUGUGAAAGGCGGGGGCUCAACCCCCGGACUGCACAUGAUACUGCGAGACUAGAGUAAUGGAGGGGGAACCGGAAUUCUCGGUGUAGCAGUGAAAUGCGUAGAUAUCGAGAGGAACACUCGUGGCGAAGGCGGGUUCCUGGACAUUAACUGACGCUGAGGCACGAAGGCCAGGGGAGCGAAAGGGAUUAGAUACUCCUGUAGUCCUGGCAGUAAACG